This 233-nucleotide unclassified non-coding RNA is filed under the name uncultured fungus. RNAcentral's name for it is "sequence contains ITS1, 5.8S rRNA gene". The stretch from base 185 to 233 matches the Rfam family "5.8S ribosomal RNA", at positions 1 to 49 of the family's 154-position model. Lineage: Eukaryota; Fungi. The record is from RNAcentral.
UCUCCGUUGGUGAACCAGCGGAGGGAUCAUUACCGAGUUUACAACUCCCAAACCCAAUGUGAACAUACCUCUCGUUGCUUCGGCGGGAACGCCCCGGCUCUGCCCGGAACCAGGCGCCCGCCGGAGGUACGCAAACUCUUGUCUUCAGUAUAUUCUUCUGAGUGGCAAACGCAAAAUAAAUCAAAACUUUCAACAACGGAUCUCUUGGUUCUGGCAUCGAUGAAGAACGCAGC